Molecule: long non-coding RNA, 209 nt
Filed under: Elaeis guineensis (African oil palm)
Lineage: Eukaryota; Viridiplantae; Streptophyta; Magnoliopsida; Arecales; Arecaceae
Description: long non-coding RNA (EGUI_LNC076738)
Source: RNAcentral
GUGGGCUUUGCAGUCGUUGAAGCCCAGGAUGAAGGCGGCAGCGACGAUAUCGAUGGCCUCCCUCUCAAACUCUAUAGAGGUUCGAAACUCCUCGAUACAAUGUGCUCGGACAUUGAAAGGAAUCUGCUCGAAUUGGAGGGUAAAUCCACCCCCAGAAGAUGGUGGUGAGCUAGAGCGGGAGGGUGCCAUCUGAGAGGAUGACGGACCGA